This 464-nucleotide ribosomal RNA is filed under the name Vreelandella stevensii. RNAcentral describes it as "partial 16S ribosomal RNA". It matches the Rfam family "Bacterial small subunit ribosomal RNA", at positions 338 to 795 of the family's 1533-position model. Lineage: Bacteria; Pseudomonadati; Pseudomonadota; Gammaproteobacteria; Oceanospirillales; Halomonadaceae. The record is from RNAcentral.
CCUACGGGGAGCAGCAGUGGGGAAUAUUGGACAAUGGGCGAAAGCCUGAUCCAGCCAUGCCGCGUGUGUGAAGAAGGCCUUCGGGUUGUAAAGCACUUUCAGUGGGGAAGAAAGCCUUGGGGCUAAUACCCUCGAGGAAGGACAUCACCCACAGAAGAAGCACCGGCUAACUCCGUGCCAGCAGCCGCGGUAAUACGGAGGGUGCGAGCGUUAAUCGGAAUUACUGGGCGUAAAGCGCGCGUAGGCGGUCUGAUAAGCCGGUUGUGAAAGCCCCGGGCUCAACCUGGGAACGGCAUCCGGAACUGUCAGGCUAGAGUGCAGGAGAGGAAGGUAGAAUUCCCGGUGUAGCGGUGAAAUGCGUAGAGAUCGGGAGGAAUACCAGUGGCGAAGGCGGCCUUCUGGACUGAAACUGACGCUGAGGUGCGAAAGCGUGGGUAGCAAACAGGAUUAGAUACCCCAUAGUC